RNAcentral lists this ribosomal RNA (581 nucleotides) under Triticum aestivum (bread wheat). RNAcentral describes it as "partial small subunit ribosomal RNA". Lineage: Eukaryota; Viridiplantae; Streptophyta; Magnoliopsida; Poales; Poaceae. The record is from RNAcentral.
AUGAAAUCGAUGAAAUCGUCGAACCGGUUAAUGUGCCUUAAGCGCUAAUAAGAUAAAGGACUACGAGCGUUACAUAUCACCAGUUUAUCCUAAUAAAAGAAGCGCUCUGGAAAAUGAAAAAAAAUAGUACACCCUCAAUCUUAAUUAAGGACAAAUGAAUGAAAAUAGGUACACCCCCCCCCCUUCUCCGCAGAUAUAAGUCGAUGUUUCAAAUAAAACAUAUGACGUCCGCCAAGGUAAAAAAAGAAUUAGCCUCAAGACCCAUACCCGAAUAUACCAAGGUUGCUUGGUCCUAAUCUAAACCUUUCUAAUUAAUUAGUUAGUAUGGGACGUUGGAACCUUUAUGAAAAUAUAAAACCGAAGGAAUAACGAAUACGACAGUUUAACGGCUAAUAUGGGGAUGUAUGCACCAAUGGUCUAUGGGUACCCCUUCGUGUAAUAUCAUGUACAUACGAAAAUCGCCCUUAUAAUAAUUUCUACCCUCGUAUACCUAACUAAGCCUAGUUGUACCUUAACAAUGGAGUACGAGUAAUAGAUAAAAGCGGGACCAAUCAUUAUUAUCCUCGCUAGGUUUAUUAGAU